This 3115-nucleotide long non-coding RNA is filed under the name Nicotiana benthamiana. Its description in RNAcentral is "long non-coding RNA (NBEN_LNC026886)". The record is from RNAcentral. Lineage: Eukaryota; Viridiplantae; Streptophyta; Magnoliopsida; Solanales; Solanaceae.
GACCACAGGUUAUUAUCCAGAUUUUUCUUCCUUCCCAAGAACAAUUUAUAGGGUUCAUUUUUCACUCUAUUUAUAUAUAUACUCAUCAUUAGCAGAAGAGGACCGGCGGCAGACCUAAGAGAACAACCCCAUCAGCACCUUCUUUUUCACAGAGGGAACAGAAGCAAGACACAGUAGAGAAAAAUACCUAACAGCGUUAAACCAACCAUCCCCGCCGCCCAACCUUUGUCAACCAAGGACCGUCGCCGGCUACAAACCAAAACCCGCCGGAACUCAACAACCAACCAGCCUAGCCACUCCUCCUCUGUCUUGAAGCAGCAGAACAGCAGUUGCACCUAACAUAUCCUCCCUUUACAUUUUUAGUCGCGACACAAACACAUACACACAAGCAUAAACAGAAGACCGGGAAGAACGGAUAGAGAAACUAAGGUUUGUUCGAUUGCUGUCCGCCGAGAUGGCCGCUGUUCAAGUUUUUCGGUGUUAAACAUUUUUAUAUAAAAAAUUACCUUAUUUUGAGGUUCGUCAUUGUUUUAUCCUCUAUUUAUCGACUUUUCUCUCAUAUAAGGGUUGAAUGAAUAUUUGCUGAGCUAUUUGUGGAAGAUCUGUCUUUAAUCAAAAUUUCAUUGUUUGCUGAGCUAGUUCACUUACUAGUUUAAUGCAAGAUUGAAUUAGAAUGUUUGAUAUUCAUUGGUUAAUAUUUACUUAGAUCUAUACGUUUAAAGUAGAUGUAGGCUUUUAAAGAAAAGAAGAAAUUCAAAAAAAAAAAAUAGUGAUUUGCUUUGGGGUUAAUUAACGUAAUUAAUUAAACUGACGUUGGUAUUCACGUUGGAGAAGGACGGAACCUGUUAGUAUUAAUUUAUCCAUAUGUUAUAGGAAAUGGUUUUGGGUCAAAUAUUUGAACAGAAGAACAUGAAUAUAGAUUGAGUUUUCCUUUUAUUUUAUUCUCUUUACUUACUUUAUUUGUUACAUUAUUCACUAGUACCAUGAUUAGGCAAACCACUUGAGUAAGUAAGCCUUAGGAUUUUUAUUAGUUAUAAGACGAGAGAUCGUCUUUAGUUAAAUUUAUUCGGGGAAUGUCUCAAAGAUUUUGUAUAUAUUAUUUGGGAUAUACCCCGAAAAACUAUGUAAAUAUUUUAAAGGCCUUGGCAAGCAUGGUGGAGAAGUAAUAAUACAAGUUAGCUUAGGAUUUUCCUUUUCUUUUCCUUUUCAUUUUCUUUCAUUAAGGUUGGGACGACCUUGAGCCUCUUGUCUGUUUAUUUUAUUUUUGUGUGUUUUACCUCAAUUUGAAUGUUUUAAAAGCCAACUAGAUCGAGUGUGCAACCUUACUAGUUACGAGACUUGGGGAGUGUCUAACAGCUUCUCCCCGAGUCAAAUGAACCUCCUUACUUGAAUCUCUGGUGUGGAUUUGAUAUUAGAGUCGGAAGUAUUUUAAAGGAAAAUCAUUUUUAAAAAAUGGUGACAUGACACACCUUAAUCAAUGUCAGGUGACGCUGAGUUAAUCAUUUUGAACAUAAGUUUUUGUCACUUUCUAAUUGAAAACUAUUUUCAAGCUUUACUCAAUUCUUUUAUUAAUUUCAAGAGGGUCGGUGGUAAAAAGGGGUGUGACAUCUUUGGCGACUCUGCUGGGGAGUUGCAGGUUCGAGCUAGUACUUGAUCUUGUUGGCUUUUAUGAUAUUAGGUUGAGGUUUUUAUGUGUUUUGUUUGCUUUAUUUGAUUUUUAUUUUUGUUUAUGUCUUUUAUUAUUUACUAGUUGCUUAUUUGUUUACAGUUUUUUCUUUAUGUGUUAUUGCUUUAUAAAUUGUCAUCAUUUGCAUAACCAUGAAUCUUCUUUCUGCAAUAAGUCUCGGAGUACGCGUUGUAUGCACGAACUCUUUGUUGAGUCACCCUUAAUUUAGGAGGGGGUGGAUCGUCGGACAUAUGGAGUGGGUGGAAAGCAUGAGCAGCCACCAUCGAUCAUCCCUCGAAUCGCCUUGUUAGUGAGCCCAAACUUAGGUCAACUUUUAGGUCAUUUUUAUUUGCAUCAUGUCAUUUAGACCUAGCAGAGCUCGGUCACAGGUACCGUGUCCCUUUGUUGGAAGCUCAUCCAAAUUUUAUCAAAAUGGACCUAUGGCCCAAAAAAGACAUUCAAUCAUCUCUGUAUGCUACAAGCUUCAUUCUUUAAGGGGUAAAAUGGUCAUUUGGCGGACCAAUGAUAGUUGAGGGCGAAUGAAACAAAGAGAGGAUGAUUUUUAAAAAGAAAGCAAGUAGGGCCCACUCGCACUUUUUCAUUAUUUUUCAAAAAUUCAAAAAAAUAAUUAAAAAAAAUCCGAAAAGAUUUUACACUUUUCCAUUAUUUUUUAAAAAUUCAAAAAGAUUUUACAUUUUUCAUUAUUUUCCAAAAAAAAAAGAAAAAGAAAAUCAAAAAAGAUUUUGCAUUUUCCAUCAUUUUUUUCAAAAAGACAAUAUAGUUUUUUCAAAUUAGAUGUAUUUCUUAAUUCUAUCCCAUAUUUAAUCUUGUUGAACUACGCAACUUAGUUCUCGUCUUUCGGGACAAGAUACGUAGGCAACCCACAUAAGGUUCAAUCUUUCUUAAUAAGCCUUAGGUUCUUGGCUUUGUGGGAUCUUAGCCAAAUUUUUCAUGUUUAGCCACUUUUGGCCACAUGGGCCAUUAUUGCAAAAUGGGGUUAUUUUCGUAAAAAUGGUUAAAUAACCCAUAUCUUAGGAUUUUGAGUCCAGAACUAGGUAUCAUAUUGCUUUAUGGUCCUUCAUUUCUGAGUUAGCAUCUUUAGCCACUUCUAGCCAUAUCAGUCGUUUUUUGCAAAAUGGGUCAUUUUUGCAAAUUAAUUUCGGGCCGUGAUUAUUGAGAGUUUGAAUCCAUAUAAGCCUUAGGGAGGUAUGUCCAUAUCUUAGAGGUUACAUUUGUUGAGUUUGCAUUAAUAGCCACCCUUGGCCACGUAGAUCAUUUUGCAAAAAUAGUCUUAAUCAUGCCUUGCACGUGUCCAAUAGAAGGCGUUGUGGCGUUUCAUGUGUCUUAAGUCACUAACUCUAUUUGAUCUUAUUUUUUUCCAUUCAGGUAUGGAUUAAUUUGCUAGAGUUUGAGCAUGACAAAUACCACAUGAUCAUUCUAAUAUGACCG